Molecule: ribosomal RNA, 253 nt
Filed under: uncultured bacterium
Lineage: Bacteria
Description: partial 16S ribosomal RNA
Rfam family: Bacterial small subunit ribosomal RNA
Source: RNAcentral
UACGGAGGGUGCAAGCGUUAUCCGGAUUCACUGGGUUUAAAGGGUGCGUAGGAGGGCAGGUAAGUCAGUGGUGAAAUCUCCAAGCUUAACUUGGAAACUGCCGUUGAUACUAUCUGUCUUGAAUACCGUGGAGGUGAGCGGAAUAUGUCAUGUAGCGGUGAAAUGCUUAGAUAUGACAUAGAACACCAAUUGCGAAGGCAGCUCGCUACACGAAUAUUGACUCUGAGGCACGAGAGCGUGGGGAUCAAACAGG